GGCUGUCGUCAGCUCGUGUCGUGAGAUGUUGGGUUAAGUCCCGCAACGAGCGCAACCCACGUCUUUAGUUGCCAGCAUUAAGUUGGGCACUCUAGAGAGACCGCCGGUGAUAAACCGGAGGAAGGUGUGGAUGACGUCAAGUCAUCAUGCCCCUUACAUCCUGGGCUACACACGUACUACAAUGCUACGGACAAAGGGCCGCAAACUCGCGAGAGCUAGCAAAUCCCAUAAACCGUGGCUCAGUUCAGAUCGUAGGCUGCAACUCGCCUACGUGAAGGAGGAAUCGCUAGUAAUCGCAGGUCAGCAUACUGCGGUGAAUACGUUCCCGGGCCUUGUACACACCGCCCGUCACACCAUGGAAGUUGGCCACGCCCGAAGUCGUUACUCCAACCUGCAAGGGAGGAGGAUGCCGAAGGUGGGGCUGAUGACUGGGGUGAAGUCGUAACAAGGUAGCCGUACCGGAAGGUGCGGCUGGAUCACCUCCUAA
Molecule: ribosomal RNA, 487 nt
Filed under: uncultured cyanobacterium
Lineage: Bacteria; Bacillati; Cyanobacteriota
Description: bacterial SSU rRNA
Rfam family: Bacterial small subunit ribosomal RNA
Source: RNAcentral